This 460-nucleotide ribosomal RNA is filed under the name uncultured bacterium. RNAcentral's name for it is "partial 16S ribosomal RNA". It matches the Rfam family "Bacterial small subunit ribosomal RNA", at positions 338 to 795 of the family's 1533-position model. The record is from RNAcentral.
CCUACGGGAGGCAGCAGUGAGGAAUAUUGGUCAAUGGGCGCGAGCCUGAUCCAGCCACGUCGCGUGAAUGAUGACUGCCCUACGGGUUGUAAACUCUUUUUAUAAAGGAAUAAAGUGAGGCACGUGUGCCUUUUUGUCUGUACUUUAUGAAUAAGGAUCGGCUAACUCCGUGCCAGCGGCCGCGGUAAUACGGAGGAUCCGAGCGUUAUCCGGAUUUAUUGGGUUUAAGGGGAGCGUAGAUGGGUUGUUAAGUCAGUUGUGAAAGUUUGCGGCGCAACCGUAAAAUUGCAAUUGAUACUGGCAGUCUUGAGUACAGUAGAGGUAGGCGGAAUUCGUGGUGUAGCGGUGAAAUGCUUAGAUAUCACGAAGAACACCGAUGGCGAAGGCAGCUUACUAAACUGCCACUGACAUUGAUGCUCGAAAGUGUGGGUAUCAAACAGGAUUAGAUACCCGAGUAGUC